RNAcentral lists this unclassified non-coding RNA (256 nucleotides) under Hevea brasiliensis (rubber tree). Lineage: Eukaryota; Viridiplantae; Streptophyta; Magnoliopsida; Malpighiales; Euphorbiaceae. The record is from RNAcentral.
AGAGAGAGAGAGAGAGAGUAGUUUAGGGUUUUACUUUUAACACAGUGGGUUUUGUGCCCUUUGCUCCCGAGAUAAGGAGAAAAAAUUAGCGACUGGCCUUUUUGACAAUGGUUAGUCAUCAGCCAGUCUAGAAUUUUGCCAUUCUGCCCACUCCAAACGCUAAAACCACGUCGUUUUUCUUGCUGGCUCCGAUGCCGUAGAAACGGCGCUGUAUUAUCCCAUGUGGAAUUAUUUUCGCCUCUCCAGCCCCUUAAAU